GAUGAACGCUGGCGGCGUGCUUAACACAUGCAAGUCGAACGAACUGAGGAGAGCUUGCUCUCCAAAGUUAGUGGCGGACGGGUGAGUAACGCGUGGGUAACCUGCCCUAUGCAGGGGGAUAACGUUUGGAAACGAACGCUAAUACCGCAUAAACUAUGGGUAAUCGCAUGAUUACUAUAGUAAAGAUUUAUCGGCAUAGGAUGGACCCGCGUUGGAUUAGCUAGUUGGUGAGAUAACAGCCCACCAAGGCGACGAUCCAUAGCCGGCCUGAGAGGGUGAACGGCCACAUUGGGACUGAGACACGGCCCAAACUCCUACGGGAGGCAGCAGUGGGGAAUAUUGCACAAUGGGCGCAAGCCUGAUGCAGCGACGCCGCGUGAAGGAUGAAGGUCUUCGGAUUGUAAACUUCUAUCAGCAGGGAAGAAUAAAUGACGGUACCUGACUAAGAAGCCCCGGCUAACUACGUGCCAGCCGCCGCAGUAAAAC
RNAcentral lists this ribosomal RNA (486 nucleotides) under uncultured bacterium. Its description in RNAcentral is "bacterial SSU rRNA". It matches the Rfam family "Bacterial small subunit ribosomal RNA", at positions 28 to 526 of the family's 1533-position model. The record is from RNAcentral.